RNAcentral lists this ribosomal RNA (430 nucleotides) under Acidobacteriota bacterium. RNAcentral describes it as "Acidobacteria bacterium partial 16S ribosomal RNA". It matches the Rfam family "Bacterial small subunit ribosomal RNA", at positions 355 to 776 of the family's 1533-position model. Lineage: Bacteria; Pseudomonadati; Acidobacteriota. The record is from RNAcentral.
UGGGGAAUAUUGGACAAUGGGCGCAAGCCUGAUCCAGCCAUGCCGCGUGUGUGAAGAAGGCCUUUUGGUUGUAAAGCACUUUAAGCGAGGAGGAGGCUACUUGGAUUAAUACUCUAAGAUAGUGGACGUUACUCGCAGAAUAAGCACCGGCUAACUCUGUGCCAGCAGCCGCGGUAAUACAGAGGGUGCGAGCGUUAAUCGGAUUUACUGGGCGUAAAGCGUGCGUAGGCGGCUUCUUAAGUCGGAUGUGAAAUCCCUGAGCUUAACUUAGGAAUUGCAUUCGAUACUGGGAAGCUAGAGUAUGGGAGAGGAUGGUAGAAUUCCAGGUGUAGCGGUGAAAUGCGUAGAGAUAUGGAGGAAUACCGAUGGCGAAGGCAGCCAUCUGGCCUAAUACUGACGCUGAGGUACGAAAGCAUGGGGAGCAAACAGG